GUCCGGACGAGGCGGAGAAGGAGGGCUGGGAGUACGCCUCGCUGUUCGGCUGGAGGUUCCACCUGAAGCCGAGGAAGACGGACAGCUUCAGGAGGCGCAGGUGGAGGUGCCGCAUGGAGCCGCUGGAGAAGACGGGACCGGCCGCCAUCUUUGCUCUGGAGUGUUCACUGAGCAGCAUAGAGGACAAGAACGAUGACAAGUCCGUCACGACCACGUUUGGAGUCAACAGACCAACUAUUUCCUGUUUCUUUGACCGCGGCACUCGAUACCACCUGCGCUGCUACCUGUACCAAGCCAGAGACCUGCUGGCCAUGGACAAAGACAGCUUCUCAGGUAC
Molecule: non-coding RNA, 337 nt
Organism: Plectropomus leopardus (leopard coralgrouper)
Lineage: Eukaryota; Metazoa; Chordata; Actinopteri; Perciformes; Serranidae
Source: RefSeq, a predicted model, not a curated record